CUUUUGUAGCAGGGUGACUGAAUUCGUUAGUGAGGAUUUCAUUCACCUGUGCUUAAUUUAAGCCCCCGCCCCUUUCUUAGUUGAUAUAAGGGAUGUGUGUUUGUCAUAUGGCAUGCGUCUUGGUAUCGGCCUUGUGACGUCAUCCGUGGUUGCCGCAGGCUUGGACUGUAAGCUGGCUUCCUCGUCUGCUGUGUGUUGGCUGCCCACGCCACACAGCAUGUCAUUGACAGCAUGGUGUUCAUUACUGAACUGUUGCACUGCAAGAUGAUGCGCGACUGCAAAGCGGUUUGUGCGGCGGGAUCAUUCUGCGGACUUCCCUGCAUAACUGAGAGCCUUUGGGCUAUUCGCGAGAGCGUACCAAUGAUGAACUGUGAUCGUGUAUAAUUGCGACUGCGUCGCUGUUUUGCCUCGACGUUUAUCCCCAUGGCAACCGUUGUGACUCUACUAUACGUGGCUACUGGGUAUUGUGUCUACUAUUCCUCUGACUGUGCAAACUGGUUGGGCGUUUCAUCUGGCCCCAGUUUAUUCACUUCCACUGGUCUGAAGCACCUCAUAUGUAUGUUUAUUUGGUUUAAUUUAAUGUUAAUGUCAAUGUGUUUUUGUGGUAUUGGGUCUUAUUUAUGUGAUGUGGUUAGACCCUUGGAUUAUUUGACAUGUGUUAUUAUUUUGGAUUGUAUUUUUGUUUUGUGUGUUUUCAAUUUUUGUCUGGUUACAGGAGCUAGGGGGUUUGUGGAGGAUGCAAGCAACGUCGCCAUUUGUGUGGUGUAUUCACACUUAGUGCUGUGUGUCUUCUGACAUUUUAACCCUUCACGUGUGUGUGUGGGUAUUUGUAGUGGAUUAUUUUGGCGAAUAGGUUUCCAAAUUUGGCAGCUGGCCUGGACCUCCAGAUACCUCUGCUCUUGAGAUCUUAAAAUUGAGAAAUGUUUGUGUGUCUUGAGUAGCUUCUUCUUGAUCAUGUGUAAAAUGCCAGUCUAAGUUUUAAAGUGAAAUUUCCAACUAUUUAUAGAAUAUUGACCAAUAAAACUUUCCUACUUUUGCUAUACCUGCCUCAUGUCCUCUCACCCACCCACUCAGAACGAACCUGUGUGCCCUUAGGGCUAUUUCCCUGGGUUUCCAGGGUGGCGUAGUCGAUCAUAUAUUGUCAUCUGGUAACAGUGUGGUAAAUCUUAAUCAAUUCUAGUACCCACUCGGUGCCGUACCGCUACAAACUGGCGUAGUCGGCAGGAUUGUUUCUUUUCUUGGGUGUAUUGGGUGAAGACAUGGGUAUGUAUAUUUGGAGAAAGGAAAAGAGAAUGUUUGCAUAAUUCUGUGUUUGUUGGAAUUUUUUUUAUUAUUGAGGCAAAGCAGCGGCGUAGUUGGUGUGAAUCGGGUUUCCCCUGUCAGUUGGGUUCCCUCUAUGAUUGGUGAGUUGAGUGUAUUUAUUAUGGGGGGGGAACACGGGAAGAAAUUCAGUACUGUUUUAUGGGUAAAAAAAAAAAGGGGUACCCGGAUAAUUAUUUUUUAUCGUAUAGCCGUCAAGGCAGAGAACCUUGUGUAUCACUUGUUUCUCGUUGUACAGCCAUCAUGACAAGAGCACUUGUAACCAGUGUUUCUUUUUUUAUUGUAUAGCCGUCAAGGCAGAGAACCUUGUGUAUCACUUGUUUCUCACUGUGUAGCCGUCAUUGAAGAGCACUUGUAAACAGUGUUUCUUUUAUUGUAUAGCCGUCAAGGCAGAGAACCUUGUGUAUCACUUGUUUCUCACUGUGUAGUCAUCAUUGAAGAGCACUUGUAACCAGUGUUUCUUUUAUUGUAUAGCCGUCAAGGCAGAGAACCUUGUGCAUCACUUGUUUCUCGCUGUGUAGUCAUCAUCGUUCGUUUCUCGUUGUAUAGCCAUCAUUGAAGAGCACUUGUUACCAGUGUUUCUUUUAUUGUAUAGCCGUCAAGGCAGAGAACCUUGUGUAUCACUUGUUUCUCAUUGUAUAGCCGUCAAGGCAGAGAACCUUGUGUAUCACUUGUUUCUCGCUGGGUGGCUGUUGUGGCCAGAAGACCUGUAAUAAGGGUCUUCCUCAGUGUUCGUUGGGUCCCACAAUAGAAGUGAGUCUCUUGGGGCUGGGAACUAAUCGUCGGGUCGACGAUUCAUAAUGUGGGGGUGGAAUGUAGCAGGGUGACUGAAUUCGUUAGUGAGGAUUUCAUUCACCUGUGCUUAAUUUAAGCCCCCGCCCCUUUCUUAGUUGAUAUAAGGGAUGUGUGUUUGUCAUAUGGCAUGCGUCUUGGUAUCGGCCUUGUGACGUCAUCCGUGGUUGCCGCAGGCUUGGACUGUAAGCUGGCUUCCUCGUCUGCUGUGUGUUGGCUGCCCACGCCACACAGCAUGUCAUUGACAGCAUGGUGUUCAUUACUGAACUGUUGCACUGCAAGAUGAUGCGCGACUGCAAAGCGGUUUGUGCGGCGGGAUCAUUCUGCGGACUUCCCUGCAUAACUGAGAGCCUUUGGGC
Misgurnus anguillicaudatus (oriental weatherfish) is the source of this 2471-nucleotide non-coding RNA. The record is from RefSeq and is a predicted model, not a curated record. Lineage: Eukaryota; Metazoa; Chordata; Actinopteri; Cypriniformes; Cobitidae.